ACCGAUAAAACUGGAGAGCGCCGGACCGGACCACCAAGCGUGGCGCGGCAUGCGGCCGCCGAAGGGGCAAGCCGGCACCCGUGGUGGGUGCGGCGAAUCUCUCAGGCAAAAGGACAGUGGGGGCAGA
RNAcentral lists this non-coding RNA (127 nucleotides) under Cupriavidus sp. RNAcentral describes it as "Glycine sequence". It matches the Rfam family "Glycine riboswitch aptamer". From Rfam's summary of the family: This family represents the bacterial glycine riboswitch. Lineage: Bacteria; Pseudomonadati; Pseudomonadota; Betaproteobacteria; Burkholderiales; Burkholderiaceae. The record is from RNAcentral.